RNAcentral lists this ribosomal RNA (451 nucleotides) under uncultured bacterium. RNAcentral's name for it is "bacterial SSU rRNA". It matches the Rfam family "Bacterial small subunit ribosomal RNA", at positions 28 to 499 of the family's 1533-position model. The record is from RNAcentral.
GAUGAACGCUGGCGGCGCGCCUAACACAUGCAAGUCGAACGGCACCUGCCCUCGGGCAGAAGCGAGUGGCGAACGGCUGAGUAACACGUGGAGAACCUGCCCCCUCCCCCGGGAUAGCCGCCCGAAAGGACGGGUAAUACCGGAUACCCCCGGGAGCCGCAUGGCUCCCGGGCUAAAGCCCCGACGGGAGGGGAUGGCUCCGCGGCCCAUCAGGUAGACGGCGGGGUGACGGCCCACCGUGCCGACAACGGGUAGCCGGGUUGAGAGACCGACCGGCCAGAUUGGGACUGAGACACGGCCCAGACUCCUACGGGAGGCAGCAGUGGGGAAUCUUGCGCAAUGGGGGGAACCCUGACGCAGCGACGCCGCGUGCGGGACGGAGGCCUUCGGGUCGUAAACCGCUUUCAGCAGGGAAGAGUCAAGACUGUACCUGCAGAAGAAGCCCCGGCUA